AAUGCCAUUUUAAAAGAGGCAGAACAAAGACUGGGAACAUGAUGGCGGGCAGACGCAUCCUUCUUCAACUAACAUUCAAAUUAUUGAAAAGGGGAAAAACAGUGAGUAUUUUCUCUCCUUCCCUUUCCCCAGCACACACACACACACACACACACACUGACAUGCUCAUUUCAGUACAGAUUGUUGAAACCGAUGAUGGCCAGCUGAGGGUAGGAGCAGACGGGACAAGAAAAGAAGAUUCCAUAGUGAGUACUCCAUCACGAAUCGUGAAUGAGUGAAAGGCGUGCACUAUAGGACAGCUGGUGAAUAUGCAUGGGGAGGGAAGAGGAAACAGAGAAGCAAAGACGUUGGGGUAAACAGGUAGGACGUGUUUGAAGAGAAAGUGAGAAGAGCAGAUAGGAAGGAGAGGGAAGAUCAGGGUUAAAUGACCUGGAAAGAGGCAGGAUCAGGGAGGAGCAUCGUGUAGAGAAAGAGUGU
Molecule: long non-coding RNA, 477 nt
Organism: Herpailurus yagouaroundi (jaguarundi)
Lineage: Eukaryota; Metazoa; Chordata; Mammalia; Carnivora; Felidae
Exons: 3
Source: RefSeq, a predicted model, not a curated record